RNAcentral lists this small RNA (125 nucleotides) under Marmota monax (woodchuck). Lineage: Eukaryota; Metazoa; Chordata; Mammalia; Rodentia; Sciuridae. The record is from RNAcentral.
GCUGAGCGCAGUGGCGCAUGCCUGUAAUCCCAGUGGCUUGGGAGGCUGAGACAGGAGAAUCGUGGAUUCAAAGCUAACCUUAGCAACAGUGAGGCGCUAAGCAACUCAGUGAGACCCUGUCUCUA